This is a long non-coding RNA of Haliotis rubra (blacklip abalone), 153 nucleotides long. RefSeq lists it as uncharacterized. The transcript is spliced from 4 exons. The record is from RefSeq and is a predicted model, not a curated record. Lineage: Eukaryota; Metazoa; Mollusca; Gastropoda; Lepetellida; Haliotidae.
UGUUGUAUCUCAAUGCCAAAAUAGGGACAACUGGUGUGACCAAUUAAGAUCAAUUAGGUCUCGUCAGUAAGGUGGUAACUAAUUUGCUACUGGCACAAUUAGGACCAAUUAGGCACUGAGGAUGUUUGUAAAAUAGAGGAGUGAAAGCAAUAU